This 19389-nucleotide long non-coding RNA is filed under the name Physcomitrium patens. RNAcentral's name for it is "long non-coding RNA (PPAT_LNC002298)". The record is from RNAcentral. Lineage: Eukaryota; Viridiplantae; Streptophyta; Bryopsida; Funariales; Funariaceae.
UUUUUUGUUUUGUGAGAUUUAUUGUGGGACUUAUUCUCAUUAUAAUAAAGUAUUAUAUUUGUGGUUUUUAAUAUUGAAAGUGACAUUGAGGUUGUUUAGUAAGGUACUUUGUCACCCUAUAUUUUAUUGUCAUAAGUUUUGUAAUUUGUAACCAUCAACUAUAAGUAGGUGUUUGUUGCUUUGAUUUACUUUUGAUUUUUACUUAUGUGUUGUUGGAAAUAAGGAUUUAGUAUAGAUAUUUGGAUUUUUUUUUGUAUCUUCUUCUAGUUAUAGGUAUUAUUUUUAAAGAUAUUUUAUUGUUGUAUUACUUAUAUUCUUGUUUAAAAAUACAUCAAAUACCUAACUGAGGAAGGUAAGUAAAAAUACAAGAUUAAUUCUACUAAGUCUAAUAGAACCUUAAAUAGACUUCAAGUAAUUCCUAAUAAACCCAAUUAAACUUUAACCUAUCAAAAUAACUAUAAAAGAAGUAAAAAAUAUAAAGAAACAUAAAGAAGUCAUGAUUUAAUCUCAAAAAAAAAUAACAAGAAAUCUUUAAAACAUACAAAAAUAACCUUAAAAAAAUAAUAAUUCUAAAAAAAUAUUGAGAAAAGAAAAUUUAAAGAAAUAGCAAAAAAUCCUUUUAAAAUACUGAAAGUAGAAAUUUUAAUGAAAUCUUAAUUGAAUUUCAAUCAAAUCUUAGAUCAAAUCUAAAUUAAAAUCCUAAUUGAAUCUUAACCAAAUUUUAGGUCAAACCUUAAUGAAAUCCUAAUAAAAUCUUAAAUCUUAGAUAAAUCCUAUAUCAAAUCCUAAGUCCUAAUUAAAUUAUAGACAAUUCCUAAAUCAAAUCCUAUAUCAAAUCCUAAGUCCUAAUUAAAUUAUAGACAAAUUCUAAAUCAAAUCCUAAUCAAACUCUAGAUCUUAAACAAAUUCUUUAUAAAUCCUAAAGCAGAAUGGAACUUCAAUAACUAAUAAUCAAAUCAUUGAUAUCAAAUCAAAAUUUAUAUUUUUUUUAAUAUCCUAAUUAAAAAUAAGCACAAAUAAGAUGAAAUCGAUCUCACUUAUCAAUUGAGAGAAAUGCAAGAUAAUCCAAUUAGGUAUUAGGUUGCCUCUUACUCCAACCUAAAUAUUGAACUUCCAAUGGUAAUAUCUCCUUCUUAUACUUUUGAACUACUCUCAAAUUUCAUCCAAAUGUUGGAAAUUGAAACUAAUAUUUAUAUAAAAAAAAUUCACUUCAAUCCAAUUGACAGAUUAUUAAAGAUCUCAGAAACACUCAUUGUCCCUCAAAUUUCAAUUUUUGAGACCUCAAUCUAUAAAACCCUCAUAUACUUCAAUCUAACUAUUUAAUUAAUUUCAAAAUUUGAAUACACAUUUACAACUAGUAUAUCAAUACAUUGGCCAAAUUUCACUUAUAUAUACUCCACAAAAUUCAAGAAACCUUCAAAUUUGUAAAUAUAUUUUUAUUUCUGAAAUCCUAAUCCCUCUAAGAAUAUCACUAACUUUGAAAAUCCCUCAAAAUCUCAAUAUUGAUCCAAAUGAUAUAAAACCAAUGCUUACAAAUUUUUCUUUAAGUUCGUUCUUAAAUUCCGCUCUCUAAUCUCCAAAAAUUUCUUAGAGUUGCUGUAUGGAUGUGGCUUUGUGCCUCAAGGUCUGAUUUCAAUCUUAGUUAAUAACUGGUGUUCUCUAAGUAUCAAUUUUUGAUAAUUUGAGGUAAGUUUUUCUUUAACCUAUUUCUAAUUCUUUCUUGAUUAUAUCUAAUUCAAUUUCUUAUCUCAUUUACUUUAAUUUGGUUUACUUAUGUAUCUACAAAGUAAAUAGAAGUUCCUUCUACAAAAGGUAGAAUUGAAACUAAAUCUUUUAUUACCUUUCUAUUAUUCAUUCUUAUUUUUCUACUACAUCUCUCUAUUAGACUCUUCUAUAAUAACAUUCAUAUUUUUUACUAUAUAAUUGUGUUACUACACAAUACUAUAGUUAUCUCAUUUUAUAUUUCUACUAAUUUGUAUUAAUAAGCACACUAUAAGGAUGAGGUCGAGUUGAUGGCCGAGAAGAUCCUUUUAUUUAUGGAUUUAUUAGACUUGUAAUGAUUCUAAGGUGAUUAUCAAUGAAUUAUAAAGCUUAGUAUUUUUGUAGAUGUAGAUUAUUUUUUUAGCCUUUAAAUAGUUAUAAGUACCCAAAUAGUCCAUUUUAUGGUACAUACUAAGAAUUGAUAUUAUUGAUCUCCUUCACCAGAUUACUUGGAUAGUGACCAUAGCAAGAAUUUCGGACUAUGGAUCGAUACUAAUAAAGCUUUUUAGUCUAUUUCAGUAUUAGAUACCACUUAGAGGCUUUGGAUCUUGAGAGUAGGCACAUUUUACAAGAUAGAAGGUGAUCCUUGCAACAUGGUGAAGGAUAGAUUUUCAAGAAGAAUUAAAGGCAUUUCUUUAUGAGAUUGAAGACUUAGGUUUCAAACAUGAAUAAAAGAAAAGCAUCAAAGAUCUCCUACUUUCAAUAAGUGACAUGCCUUUGAGCUCUUACCACAAUACUUAGAAUACAAGGCAUUCUAAAUCUUUGGAAAAUGAAGUAAUGAACAUUUACUUGAGUUGCAUAAAGAAGAGCAUUAUUGAAAGGCAUAUUGUUGUGUUGUAAUAUGAUUAUAUGGUGAAAAUAUAAUCAAAAAUAAAAUUUUAAUUAAUAUCUAUUCAGCUUGGUAUAAUAAUAAUUUAAGAUAUUUAAACAUAGCUUUUAUAAAAGCCUCUUAGUUUAUUUUUUUGUCUUAAGAGCUAGUAGAUUAAAGAUUGUUAAGUAAUUUUACCUUAUAGGCUAUAGAAAUUCUUUUACUUCCUUAUAAAGGCCAUAAAUUAGUAAAAAUAAAAUAAAAGAAGUAAAUAAUUAAUAUGGUUGAUACUAGGAUUAAGUUGAAGGUAGGAUCAAGCUAAAAAAUUCUUAGAAUAUAUUGAAUUGUUAUCCAAGGAUCAAUCAUUUAUAGGAUAGGAUCGAAAUUGAACCUCCAACCACUAAAAUACUUGCCUAGGACAAAAUAUAGGUAUAUUUGGAGAUCAACUACUAGGAUUAAAGAACUAAAUUUAAGCUUUUUUUAAAAAUUAUUAAGCUUAUUUUUAUGGAAUUUAAGAUGACUUUGUAAUUAUUAUUCAAAGUUAGGAUUUGUGUUGGUGACUUUGAAUUUAUGUAAUACAAUUAGAGUUAAUACACUUAGCUUAUUCAUACAAUAAGUGUCACAUUUAUAGUUCAAAAUUUGAUAGUACUUAAUUAAUUAGAUUUAAUAAGUAUAUGUAAAAUUUUAUAUUUAUUUAAUAGUAUAAUUGAGAGAUAUUUGAUUUUUGAUAUAAGAAGGUAUUGAAAGUUGGCAAUUUAGAGUUGGAUAGGAUUUCUAUAGUAUCCACAAAUUUACUAGUUGAAAUAAGGUGAAUUUUGGCAUAAUAUUAAAAGACUUAAAGAUCAAGCUACAUACCAAUUUUGAAUUGAAAUUAAUAACUAGAGAAGGAAAAAUUACUACUAGAACAUUUGUAAGAAUUUUAAAGUUGGAGGCUGAGUAACACCAGUGUAGUUUUUUGGACGAUUUUUCAUAAUUUGUAAGUUGGAUUGGAUUGAUUUUUUUUAGGCAUGUAGAAUACUUAUAAAAGAAAAUUUAUUUGUAAAAUUUUGCAUCAAGUGGAUAAUUAGAUUAAGAGUUACAACUUAUUGAAGGUCACUAAUUAGGAUUAGGGAUUAUAAAGAAAAAUCAAAAUUACAUAAUUAUGAAAGUAAUAAGGUAAUUGGAGUUUUCAUAUGAUUGAGAUUACUAAAAAUAGUACUUUUGAAUACUUUAUAUUGAUUUUAAGUACUAUUACAUUGAAAUUCAAAUUGCAUACUUUUUAUGUGGACAAAACCUAUUAGGACUUCUUGGAUACUUGUAAAACACUUAACCUUUCACAACCACAUGCUUGAUGUAUUUUCAAACAAGAUAAUGUGUAAUAUGACAAUGCUAUCAUAUUGUAACAUGUUAAUAUGGUGAAAUUAUAAUCAAAAAUAAAUUUCUAAUUAAUAUCUAAUCAUUUUGAAUUAAUAAUAAUUUAAGAUAUUUAAAUAUGAUUUUUAUAAAAGCAUCUUAGUUUAUUUUAUUAUCUUAAUAGCUAGUAGAUUAAAGAUUGGUUAAUAAUUUUACCUAUUAGAUUUUAAAAAUUCUUGUAUUAUCUUAAAAAAGCCCUAUUUGAUAAAAUCAAGUCAAAAGAGGUAAAAAAUUAGCAUGGUUGAUAUUAGGAUUAAGUUGAAGGUAGGAUUGGACUAAAAAAUUCCUAAGAUAGGUUAGAUUGAUAUCCAAGGAUCGAUCAUUUGAGGGACAGGGUCAAAAUCAAACCUCUAGCCAUUAAAAUAAUUACCUAGGAAAAAAUAAGAGAGCAUUUGAAGAUCAAAAAUUGGAAUUUGUGAUGAAGAUUUAAGCUUAUUCCAAGGAUGUAAAGCUUGUUUUUUUAAGAUUUGGAAUGACUUUGCAAUUAUUGUUCAAAGUUAAGGUUUAUAUUGAUGACUUAUGAUUUAAGCAAUAUAAUUAGAACUAGCACUCUCAACUAGUUCAAGCAAUUGGUAUCACAUCUAUAGUUCAAAAUUUGAUAAUAUUUAGUUGAUUGGAUGUGCUAAGUGUGUGUAAAUUUUUUUAUUAAUUUAAUAGUCAAAUUAAGAGAUAUCUAGAUUGUAGUACAAGAGGAUAUUUAAAGUUGACAGUUUGAAGUUGAGUAGGAUUUCUAUGACAUCUAAAGAUCUACUAAUUUGAUCAAGGUGAAAUUUGGCAUGGUUAUGGAAGACUUCAAGAUCAAGUUAUAUACCAAUUUUGAAUUGAAGUUAACGGUAUUAUAAUGUAAUAUGACUAUAUGGUAAAAAUAUAAUCAAAAAUGAAUUUCUAAUUAAUAUCUAAUUAUUUUGGUUCAAUAAUAAUUCAAGAUAUUAAAACAUGGCUUUUAUAAAAAUUUCUUAGUUUAUUUUCUUGCCUUAAUAGUUAGUAGGUUAAAGAUUGGUUAGUAAUUUUACCUUCUAGGCUAUAGAGACUCCUUUACUAAUUUAGAUAGACCAUAAAUUAAUAAAAUCAACUCAAAAGACGUAAAUAAUUAGCAUGGUUGAUACUAUGAUUAAGUUGAUAAUAGGAUUGGGAUAAAAACCUCUAGGAUAGGUUAUAUUAAUAUCUAGGGAUCAAUCAUUUGUAAGAUAGGGUCAAAAUCAGACCUCUAGCCACUAAAACUACGACCUAGGGCAAAAUAAGGAGGCAUUUAAAGAUUGGUGAUUAGAAUUGGAGAAUUAGCUUGGAGCUUGUUCUAAAGACUUAAGGCUUGUUUUUGUAGGAUUUAGUUUGACUUUGAAAUUAUUAUUCAAAGUUAGGGUUUGUAUUGACAACUUAAAAUUCAUAUAAUAUAAUUAAGGCUAUCAUUCUUGGCUAGUUUGUAAAAUUGGUGUUACAUCUAUAGUUCAAAAUUUGAAAAUAUUUGAUUAAUUACGUGUGCAAAGUAUAUGUGAAAAUUUGUGAUUAUCUAAUAGUGCAGUGUUGUGAUGUAAUAUGACUAUAUAGUGAAAUUAUAAUUAAAAUUUAAUUUUUAAUUAAUAUCUAAUUAUCUUGAUUUAAUCAUAAUUCAAGGUAUCUAAACAUGGCUUUUGUAAAAGCCUCUUAGUGUGGUUUUUGAGUUGUUUUCUCAUGAUUUGUAAGUUGGAUUGAGGUGAAUUCUUUAAAGCAUAUAGAAGACUUACAAUGGCAUUUGUAUGCAAAAUUUUGCUUCAAGUGGACAGUUAGAUUAGUAGCUACAACUUACUAAAGCUUACUAAUUAGGAUUAAGGUUUACAAAGAAAAUUUAAAAUUAUCUAAUCAUAAAAGUAAUAAAGUAAUUGGAAUUAUAUAUGAUUGAAAUUACUAAAAAAAGUAUUUUUGAGUAUUUUGUAUUAGAUUUAAGCACUUUUGAAUUAAAAUUCAAAUUAUAUUUUUCUUAUUAGGGUAAAAUAUAUUAAGAUUCUUGGAUACUUGUAAAACACAAUCCCACCUUCCAUAGUCAGAUGCUUGGUGCAUUUCCAAAUAAGAUGAUAUGUAAUAAAACAUGAAUGUUGGAGAAGGAAAAAUUGCUACUAGAACAUUUACAUCAACUUUCAAGUUGAUAGCCAAGUGACAUUACUAGGAUUUUUGGGCUUUUCUUUUACAAUCUAUAGGUUGGAUUGGGCUGAAUUUUUUUAAGCAUGUAAAAGAUUUAUAAUGGCAUUUGUGGGUAAAAUUUUAGAUCGAGUAGAUUAUCAAAUUUGAAGUUAUAGCUUGCAAAAAUACACUAAUUAGGAUUAGGACUUGUAAAGAAAAAUUAAAAAUACCUAAUUAUAAAAUUAAUAAGGUAAUUGGAGUUUAUAUAUGAUUAAGGUUCAUAAGAUGAGUAUUUUUGAGCACUUUAUAUUGACUUUAAGUACUUUUGAAUUAAAAUUCGAAUUGCAUUCUUUUUAUAUGGAUAAAACCUAUUAGAAUUUUCUUGAAUAUUUGUAAAUCACAACUUCACCUUCCACAGCCAAGUGCCUAAUGCAUUUCUAUACAAGACAUGUAUUAUGAUAUAAGUUGUCAACUCAACAUGAAAGUUUGGAGUGGAAGGUGUUGGAUUGUAUUUGUGGUUAUUUGAAAUUUGUAGUAUAAGAAGGCAAAAAAAUUAAAUUUUAAAUUUUUGAUGGAGCUUUGGAUGGAGCUUCAAGUAGAUCUUUAAGUGGAGCUUCAAGUAGAUCUUUAAGUGGAGCUUCAAGUAGGUUUUCUACUAGUGGAUAAGGUAUGUACUUUGAUCCGAAUACUACAAAUAUGUUUCAAGUAUUUACAUUAUUUAUGCAAUAGCAACAUGGCAAUGAUCACAAAGACGUAUUAGCAACCAAAGCAAUGCAAGAAGUAAUUAACAAAAUUGAUUAAUUGGAUAGAAGAAAUAUUUCAAAGUAUUUGAAAUUUUAUAUACAAAAAUGAAGUUGAAUCAAGUUUUUUAAAAAAAGAUGAUUCAGCUAUAAAACUUGCUAUAAUAUUAGAGAUAAGAAAAUAUAUUAAAUCAAUUAUAGAGAAUUUUGGAAAUUUAUAGGAGACAUUUUUAUAUGCAUUAAAGGACAAAUAUGUUUUAGAAGAAAUUGAUUAGGUUACUAAGAAAUUAUUUUAAAAAUGGAUUGAGCUGUCUAACAAGAAUUUUCAAGCUUCAAAAUUUUUGAAGGAAUUUGGAAGAUAAUAUUUUUGAUUAUCAAAGAUGAUAAAAUUAACUAUAGAAUCAAACAAGGAUGAAUUUUUUUUUUUCAACCAACUAAUAAAAAAUUACAAGAAAAGUUGAAAAUUCUUCUUGAAGAUAAAAAAGAAGAUGAUUGAUUGACAACAAAAUAGAAAGAAAUUGAAGAUUUUGUGGAAUUACUUGCAAAGAGAGAAAAGAGAAAGAAUAGGAUUGAAAUUCAAGGAAUUGGACAAGUACCUAAAAUUCAAGUACCUACUUCACAAUCAACAGUACCUAUUAUCCAAACUCCAAGGACUACAUCAAAGAAAGAAGAUAUGGGAUUUGAAGAGAUUAUACAUGGAAUGCAAGAUCUUCAAAUCAAACUUAUAGGACUUGAGAAGAAGACUUCUACAAUAAGUUCAAAGGUUGUUUCUAAGCAAGGAUAUAUACAAAGAUGUAUUUGGUGUGAUGAUGAUUUUCAUUCUGAAAAAGAUUAUAGUGAAUUCAAUGAAAUAUUGUAAUGAGAUAUUAUUUUUUAAAAAGAUGGAAAUGUGGGGUUUAAGGAUAUUGAUAAUCUUUUUUAAAUCAACUUUGAUAAAAAAAAUAUGAAAGUAUUGAUUGAGGAUUAUUUAGUUAUGUAUGAAAUUAUAGUAAUGAAUGCUACAAGUUAUGGUACUAGGAUGGAUGAUGAUGACAAACAAGAAUUUUUUAAAAAUAUUGUACCAAGUAGAUUUUGGUCUUCUAUUAUUUCUAUAAUGUAAAAAAAGAAGAUGCCACAGAAAGCAUUGUUAAGAACUACUAUUACAAUUAGUGGAGCUACAAGUUGAGAGGAUCUUAAAGAAACUUUGUCAGUGCAUGCUUAUAUUUUUAAAAACCAACAUAAAGCUUUAAUAGAAAAAAAAGAAGACGCAAGAAUCUUAGGACACAAGAAAAAGAAGUACUUCCAAGAGACAAACUUGAAGAGAAAAGGCUUGUGAGAUGGCUUUACAAGAAUUAUUGAUGGAAGAUGCUUUGAUAAUAUUGAAGGAAAAAUCAAAAGAUAUAAAAAAUAAAGAUAAAUUAUCAACAUAUAAAUUACUCUCUGAUAUUGAAAAAAUAACAAAUUUAAAGAAAGUACUUGAGGAAUGUGUGCUCAAUACGAAGGUUGAGUUCACAUUGAAGGAGAUUUUGAGAAUUUCUAAAAAAAAAAAAUCUAUAAUAUCAUUAUUAUUUCUAUAUGUAUACGUUUGGUUUUUUCAAGUAAAGAUAUAUCUUAUUUUUUGACAAAGUCUUUGUUUAUAAAACAGAUUGAGGCUCUUGAAUCUAAUAAGGCUAAGACUUUGUAAUUUUUUGGUCCUAAAUAAACUUCUAUUGUAAAAUAAGAUAAAGAAUUUGAAGAAAGAAUAAAACUUUUAGUUGAAAUUAUACAAGAUUCAAGUUGUACAAUCUCUAUUGUAGUUGAAAAAACUCACCUUAUGAUACAUUGUCCUCUUUGGCAACCAAGCUCUUUAUUUUGUGAUUGCAUUACUUCCUUGGAUAAUAUUGAGUAGUAUGCUUGGAUUCUCAACAAUACAUGCAUAGAUUUUUUUAGCAAUGGCAUAUCUUUUUAUGCUUAAUAAGAGGUUUAAAAUGUACUAUGUCAAUUUGUAUAGGAUGUGGCUUGGAUAAGCUUCUAAAAACUUAAAAAAUAUUGCUAUGACUUGACUUGUACUUCUUUCAACCAAAUCUUUAUUCUUGGCAUCUUUUAAAGAAUUGAUUAUUAUAUAUAAUGGCUUGAGCAAUAAUUUAUUUUAAUGAAUCUAUUCUCAAUAUUAUCAACAAUAAAUCUUUAGCAUUAUCUUUUAAUCCAUGUUGAAACUAAUUGAUAAGGACUUUUCUAUUCCAAUAUAUAUCACAAGUAAGAUUUUAUAAUUCAAUAGUACAUAUAAGAGCUGAGCAUAAUCUUUGCCAAAGAAAUAUGAGCUUAAUCCUUCUUAUCCUUUUGUGAUUACUUUUUCCAAAUAGAGCCAUAAAUACUUUUAAGAAUGAAUUCAAAUCAUAGAAAAGUUGUGAAUCUUUUUUCAUCAAAGAGGCAAACUAAAAGAGAACACUUUUAGAUAGAAAUGUGCCUAUAAAACCAACUUGAAUAAAUCCAUUGGAGUAUUGGAAAAUUUUCAAUUUUAUAUAGAGCUUAAUUUAUUGCAAAAAUCUUUGAAAUUUUGAUCUUGUACCAUUAAACUUCUGAAGCAUACUAAUCCUUGCAUUUCUUGUACUUGUAAAAGCAAAACUUUCUGAAUUUGGUUGUAAUGCUGAUCUACUUGCUUCUUUCAAUUGUACAACUUCUUGGUAUAGAAUUGGAUUUCUUCUAUAUGUGUAAAAAUAGAUCUUUUAAAGUUAAUAUUAGUGAUGUAUAAAACUUUUAUCUUAAGAGUGUUGACAAGCUUUUAAAGAUAUUGAAUAGUUGCAUAUCUAUGCUUACUUCUACUAAAAAUAGCAUCCAUGAUUUUUUCUUCUAUAGAUAAUUCAAACCAAUUGAAAAAUUAAAAUAGAUGAGCAUAAUCCAUACUUUCUAAUAUCAAAUGAAAAUUUUGACAAAGAGAGGUGAUUUUCUUUUUUUCUUUAAAAAAUCAAUAUUAGAAGAUUAAAUUAUUUGUUUAAAGAUGAAUAGUUUGCAACCUUCAAAAUAUAACAAUAGAAGUAGAAUAAUCCACUCACUUCUAAAACCAAACAAGAAUAAUAAUUUUAUAUUUUUAUUAAACUAUAAAGAACAUAAAUCUCUAAGAACUAAAUCAUCAAUACAUCCUUGUAUCACUCAAAAAGAUUAAAAAAUCAGUCAAAGAUAGUAUAAUAUUAAACUAGAAUGGCUAUUGUUAAAGAUAAAAAGAAUAUAAACUCUUGAAAUGAGACUAAAAAUAAGAAAUACAUUAACAAGAGUGAAAUAAGCUUUAUUCUUACUUCCAUAUAUACUAUUUAACUAAGAGCUAUGUAGUAGUAUUUUAUAAGUCCUUUAAUAUGUGUUAACUUUACAAGAUAUGUAUCUUAACUUAUAAGGCAAGUUUUUUAUAUAGGCGCCAUCUAAUUAGCUUGUUUCACAAGCUACCAACAAGUAUGACACUUGGUUAAUUUCUUGACUAAAUUUUUAAUCUAUCAAUUAGUUACAAAUAUAUAUAAAGUCAAAACCACAUCUAAGAAAUCUAAAUUAGAAUAAACCUCCAUUUGUUGGAAGUUUAUUCUAGUUCACAAUAAAUAAAUUGACUAUUUAAUUCUUAGAAAUUUUAUUUUUUAUUUAAAUCCUAAUCAAAUUACUCUUAACUUCCUUAAAUCACCUACAUUGUCAUAGUAUAUGUUGUUUUGUUUGGAAAUGCAUUUAGCACCUGACUAUAGAAGAUGAAGUUAUAUUUUAUAAGUAUCUAAGAAAUCCUAAUAGGUUUCAUCUAUAUAAAAAAAAAUUAAUUCGAAUUUAAAUUCAAAAUUUCUUAAAAUCAAUACAAAGUAUUCAAAAAUAUUCUUUUAGGUAACGUUAAUUAUACACAAACUCCAAUUGCCUUAUUGCUUUCAUAAUUACGUAAUUUUGAUUUUUAAUUGUAAGUCUUAAUCCUAGUCAAUGAGCUUUAGUAAGUUGUAAUUUCUAAUUUGACUAUCCACUUGGUACAAAAUUUUGCACAAAAAUACCAUUAUAAGACUUCUAUAUGCUUAAAAAAAUUUAGUCCAAUACAACUUACAAAUUGUGAAAAAACAUCCAAAAAACUACACUAAUGUUAUUUAGCUGCCAACUCAAAAGUUGAUACAAAUGUCCCAAUAGUAAUUGGAUUGGAGGUUAUUAUAUAUUAUCUUCUCCAAUUUAAUUGUUAUUGAGAAGAUCAAAAACUAUUCUUUGUAUAUACCUUUUAUUACUAUGCAAUUCCUUGUGUAUAUAAUAAUUAAGAAGAAUGGCUAAUUCUCAUGAGUCGAGUGCUAAUAAAAAUGUGAUCUUAAUAUUGAGGUUCUACUUGCUAAAUUAAUUGUAAAAAUUACCAAUUCAAGAGUAUUUUCUUGCUGAAUUUUUAAUUAUGCUUACAAACUACAACCUACAUAGAAGGAUACUACAAGUAGCUGAUUUUAAUUCUACUAAGGCAAUAAUUAUUUCUAGCACUAGAUCAACUUAGAUUUUGGAUUUAUCAUCAAAACAUCUCAACAUAAGACAAUGUGUAUUCCAUGAGCUAGUUGAUAAUUUCUACCUAUGGCAAUACUUGUUAAAAAAAUGUAUGGCCUCUCAAUUUGUUGAAGUUAUAUUGGUACCAUAUCUUAUUAUAUUGAUAGUACUGUCAACAAGCAAAUAGAAGAAUGACAAGCAUAAAGUGCUCUCAAGCACUUAUUGACUUAUCCUUGUAGCUCCACACUCCAAGUCUAAGACACAAUCUUAAUGUUGUCAUGAUGUAAUAUAGCUGAUAUGUGAAAAAGUGAAAAAAAUAUUAUAUUUUAGAAGAUCUUAUUUCAAAAUAUUGUAGCAAACUAUCUUAGAAAUAUAGAUAAUAGUCAAAAUAUAAUAAAUUAAAAGUAAAAAUGUUAUUUUUUUUAUAAAAUAGACUUUUACUUAUUUUGUAGAGCCAUAAAUAAAAAAAAAAUAUAGAUUAAAAAAAUAAAGAAUAUAAGCAUAUGUAAGAAGGAAUUAAGAAUUUAUUUUAGUAAAAAUUAUCUUAAGAAAAUAAAAAUUGAUACUCAAAAAGUAUUAGUUGUCAAUUUGGAUUGAAAUCAAACCUUGAAGAAUAAAACCACAUACCUAUAAUGAUACCAAGAUUUGUUUUACAAAUCAAAGAGUAGUAUUUCUAAGAGCACUUUAUAUGGUUUUUUGAAGCAUUGAUUUCAAGUAAUUUGAGUUUGUAAUGUAUUUGCAAGAGCUUUGCAAAGUCAAGAAUAUUUUAGGUGACUUUGGAUUUUAUAAAAUAAAAUAUAAUCUACAAUUUGAGCAAUUUCAUGAUUUUUAUAGUAGAUCUAUAAUUAAAAUUUUGUGGAAUUGUGAAUAUAGUUGUGCCAAAUGUAUGUUGUGAAUUUGAGAUUUAAUUGGAUGGUUGGAUUAGAGAUUAUUGAAAUUCAAAGGUGGAUUAAGAUCUCAAAAAUUGGAUUUUUAGAUCUUAUAAGGUUAUUUAAAAUAUGCAACAAUUUCCUAAUUGAAUUAAGGUGAUAUUUAUUAUUGUUAAUAUUUGAUUUGACUUCCAAUACGUUUGUAAAAUUUGAGAGUAAUUUAAUGGUUCAAUAAAGAAUUAUUAUUAUUAAAAAAAUCAACAUUAAGAUCAAAGAUGGAAGUCUACUAACACCCAAGUGGAUUUUGACGUUUUUCUCCCAUUUUGUAAGUUUGAUUUUUUUUUCAAAUUUAUUGUUCUUAUUGUAAAUUAAGAGAUUGAGAGGCGUGUUAAAUUUUAAAUAAGAUCAAUGGUUUAAUCAAUAGAUAUUGAGAUUUUAAAAUUUUCUUAGGAUUGAUUUGAAUUUGUUAGGUUUCUAUUAGGAUUGAUUUGAAUUGCUUAGGUUUUGAUUAGCAUUUAUUUUAAAGCUGAUUAAGAUUUGAUUUAGGAUUUGAUUAAAAAUUUAGGAUUUAAUUAGGAUUUAUUUAGGAUUUAGGAUGUAAUUAAGAUCGGAUUAAGAUUUAGAAUUUUUUUGAAAUUCUUAAGGAUUUUUUUAAGGUUCUUAUAGAUUUCUUUAGGAUUUUUUUAUUAUUUAUUUUUGAUUUCUUUAGAAGUUUUGUAGGAUUUCUUUAUAUUUCUUUUAUAAUUCCUUUGAAAAUUUAAUUGAGCAUGAUCAAUAUUUGAUUAUAUUUGUUAAUCUUUAAUUAUAUUUCUAUUAGAAUUGUUAAGACUUAUUGUUGUAAUUUUCUUUUACCUUCCACAGUCAUGUGCUCAAUGCAUUCUCAAGCAAGAUUUCACAUAAUACAACAAUGCUAUCAAUAUGACUUGAUCAAAAAAAUUACCAACUUACCUUUGAACUCAAGCCGCAUCAAACUAUAAUCUUAAGAAAUAUAAUUUAUUAAGUCAUAGAAGAAUGUCAGGCCUAAUUUGACCAUCAAAUAUCCACACAAGAAAUCAUCUACCAACUAAUUGCAUCUGCUUGAUGUCAAUGCAUUAUUCACUCAAAGAAAAGGAAGAACAAGAAUUUUUAUGAUUUUAGUAAUAAAUAAUAUCAUUCAAAUCAACAAUAACAAUACUAAUCUAUUACAUCAUUGUCAUAUGGCGUGAUUUGCUAUCUGAGAAUACACUGGGUAUCUAGUUGUAGAGAGUGUAGCUUAAACCUUUAUAUGAAUCUUAUCUUAGCUUCCAAAACUCCUUUAUUUUGCAUAAAACUCAAAAUAUAAUAAAAUCCCUUCAAAACAUAUUUUUUCUGUGAAGGAUUUUCUCUUCCCGAACUUUAGAAAUUCAUAACUCUUGAUCUAGCCGUUUAGUUUGUUACAAAUUUAUAGGAUAGGUAGAAUUCACCCUUAAUUUUUACCUAAAAAAAAUCAACCGCAAAUUCACUUCCGAUCUUUUGACAUCUAAGAAAUCCUAGAAAACACUCUAAACCCUAAUUUACAAGUAUCCGAGCACUAUUUUCUUAAUAUCUCAAGAACCCAAUACUCAAAUAUCAUAAAACUAAUUUAUAAAAUUUACUUACAUGAAAUUACAUAUUUCCUGAAAUUUUGAGCCAAAACCUUAUCAAAUUGCUCAAGAUAUAGCUCAAGAGACAACCACUAGUAAAUCGGGUCACUUACUACCCUUAGAUUGCAUGCGCUGACUUCAAAAUCUAAUAACUCCUUCAGUUCAACUUAGAAUCCACUAAGCAGUAUGUAAAAAGUGUAGCCGCAAAAGUGCUCUCUCUAGUCACAAUUGCCGAUCCUCAAUUUCUAUCCGUACGCGUGCGUUAUGCCAAAAAAAGUGACAGUAGCUCCCAAAUCAACACCUUAACUUUGAGUGCUUGUAUCUCCUUCAUAUAAAUUCCAAACCAUACAAAACUUGCACCAAAACCAUAGCCAAAAAUUUAAACUUGCUGCAUCUAGCCUUCAAAGCUCGAAUGGCUCCAAAAACUAAUCCUAAUCUAUAAUAUGGCCUCAGGCAGCCUCCUCAAAGCCCAUUGGUCAUGAUUUUUGACCAAUAGGAAUGGAGAUUUUCAUCAUUCAUCUCCAUUCAUCUAUAUUGGUACCCUAAUUACUCCCUUUGCUACCAAAACCCUUCUUCAAUCCUUUUUCUUAUAAGAUUUUCAUAAUUUAUGCUCUAAAUAUCAAAUAAAAGAACCAAAAUAAGUUUUCAAAUGUCACCAAUGUCUAGCAAAGGUGACUCUAAAUAUUUAGAAGUUAUUAUCAACCAAAACCAAUCUUUAAAGUGACUAUCAAAAGGAAAUUAAAGUUAUACAAAUUCUAUAGUAAUCUUUUUAAACAACCUCUUCUUAAAGUAAUAAUCAAAUUAUAUUCUACAACCAACUAAAAUCUACUAACAUGACUCUCACCAUGUUACUUAAUGAAUUAUAUAUUAAGUACAUAAUUACAUUAUUUUUAUAUAGUAGCGGAACCACAACACGACACUGUGAUGACAACAAUUGUUAUAAAAGCAAUAGUAAAAAUAAAAUAAAAAAAUAAAAAAUAAAAAAAUGGUGCUAUCUAGAGUAUCAUACCAAAGCAAUAGGUCUACUAAUCAAACAAACUUAAUAAUCUGAACACUUGGUUAUAAAGCUAUAAUAAUGGCUUCUACCACUACCAUGCUUAAGAAAAAUCCAAAAUACGAUGUUGAAUGUAGAACUUGGAAUAUGAGGAAAAAACCAAGAAAAAUAAUUUAUACAUACACACACACAUAAACACACACACAUAAACACACACACACACACAUAUAUAUAUAUAUAUAUAUAUAUAUAUAUGACAAUUUUUAUAGAAUCAUUAGUAAUAAAACACAAAAUUAUUGCACCCCUUGCUUAAGAGAGACUUCACACCAGCUCACAACAUUGCCACAACAACAAGUUGAUAACAAAAAAACAUGAAUCAUUGCUUUAGAACAUUCUAAGAGCUCUACAACUUAAGAAAAGAAGCAAAUACUACAUAUAGUCAAUAAAAAUGUGAAAACAAUACACAACAAAUUUUCUUAAUGAAGGAACAUCCACGCUGAUAAAAAUAUUGAAGAAAACCAAAAACCAAAAGAAAGAAGAUGAAAAAUGAGGCCACAUUUUAAUGUGGAUAAUGCCUUGAUUCUAUUAGGCCAACUCUCUAAUAACUCCAAAACUCCAUCUGCACCUCUUCCAACAAAAAUUCUAAAUCAAAGUGAGUAUGAAGGAAAAGAAAACCAACCACCAUGAUAAAUCAUAUUAGCCGCCUUAAUCUUAACUGUGUUGCAGUCACCAAAACGAGCAAUUACUUAAAGAAAAAAUAAAAAGAAAAAAACAUGAGGUCCAACAACAACUUUGAUCUUUUUUCUGCAAUGCUGCAGCAAUACAUCCUUGAAAAACCAUAAGAAAAAAUAACAGAUCCACACACUUGGAGGUGCAUCUCUUACAAACACAAAAAAUGGAAAAAAAAAAAAAAAAAAAAAAAAAAAGGAUUAGAUUCAGAACAAUCCAGAAUCUUAUCGGCAAGGAAGCUGCUACCAUUCAAAAACAACCUUUUUUUUUCUUGAUCACCCUUCUAUUUUUAUUCUAUAUAUAUAUAUAUAUAUAUAUAUUCUUUUCUUUUCUUCUAUCUUGAUUUCUUUCUCUUUUCUUGUUUUUUUUUUUUUCUUUCUUCUCUAUUCUACUCUAUUUUUCUUUCUAUUCUUUUGGUUUUAUUUUUAUUUUUACUUUUAUUUUUUAAUUUUAUAUAUAUAUAUAUAUAUAUAUAUAUAUAUAUUAAGAACUAUUAAUAAUUUUUUUCUUUUAACUAUAAGACUAUUUUUAUUAGACCAUCAUCUAAUAUUAGAUACCAAAAACAUAUCUACCAUAAAAAUUUAUCUUAACAAAUUCUACCAAAGACUGCAUAUUGGCUAUAAGUAAUUUGUUUUCUAUUUUUCCUAAAAAUUCUACUACUAACUUACUUAACCUGUGAUUUUAUGCACAACAAGUGCAUUUUUUAUACUAAAUAUCCAAGUAAGUCAAUUUAAUGUUUUAUAUAAAGCUUUUAGAAAGCUUCUCUAGAAGAUAUUAUAAAAUUAACCUACUUUUACUUACUUCUACUUAAUCAUACAAGUAAUCUUUGGAGUAAAUAUAUAAGUUCAUGACACAACAUUCUUUAGGACUUCUAUACAUAUCCAACUUGUAGAAUUUAUAUCUAACAUUUAAACUAAGUUUCUUAUAUGUAUGUUAUAUGGCCAAUGUUUUAGCCAAAUUUACAACCUAUCAAUCAUCUAUAAACAUAUAUAAAGACAAAUCUGCAAGAUAUUAUCAAAUUUAUUUAUUUUUGUUUAUUUCCGCAUAAUUCUUUUUAUUUAGGUAAUUAAUGGUGUUGAUGAUAUCAAUGACAAUAAAUAAUUUUUUUAUUUAUUAUAAAUUAAAGAUAAUAUUUUAAAAUAUUUUAUUUAUUCAAAAUUAUUAUUAUAUAUUAAAGCUUCUUUUUUAAAUUGAAAAAAUAAAUUUUUAAUAUUUUUUUAUAAAAUUUAAUUUUUUUGAUAGUUAAUUUAUAAUUUUAAUACUUUAUUGAUGUAUUAAAUCAAACGUCUGAAUUAUUAUUUAUUUAAUUUUUAUCUAUAUAUCUUUAUUAAUAAAAAAUAUUUUAAUUUUAUAUAUUUAUAUUCAUAUUUAUAAAAUAAUACUAGUAGUAUUUUUAUAUUAAUAAUAAAUCUAUACAUUAAAAUUUCUUUAUAAAACUUUGUAUAUAAUAAAAUUAAACUAAAAAUAUAUGUCAUGAAUAUACAUGUCAAAAGUAGUAAUUAUUGAGAUAAAAGGAAUUAGGUAGAAGUAUAAAAAAGUAUGUAAUUUGAUAGUAUCUCGUAGAUAAGCUUUUUAGAAACUUCAGACAUGAAUUUGAUUUUACAAAUCUUUAUAGGUAAUUGAUGAAUUGAAAAUUUGGCUAAUAAGUUUGCUACAUGUUGUACAUGUUGGCCACUUGUUUUAUAAGUUUGCCUUAUAUUGCACAUAUUGCCCACUUGUGGUACAAGUUGGCCAUGUGGCACACAUAUUGGAAACUUGCCUUGCAAAUUAGACACAUGUUUCAAAAAUUGGACAUGUGUCAAAUAUCUUAGAAUGUCACAUAGUUCUUAGUUAGAUGGUAUAUAUAGAAGCAAAGAUUAAGCCUUCUUUAGUCUUGUCAAUACAUUUUUUUGUCCUUAGUUUGUUUCAAAUACAAAUAAUAAUAUAAUAAGAUGUAUAAAGAUUUUUUUUGAAUUAAUAAAGCAAUACAAUACCAAUCAAAUUAAAAAUACAUUAAUAAGACAAACACAACUUAGAAUUCUAAAAAAUGAAAACUAAAGCUAUUUCAAAUUGUCUUUUAAAAAGUAGUUAGAAUUUGGAACUUGGCAAAUUAUUACAGAUUUUUAAAAUAUAUAUAUAUAUAUAUAUAAGUUAAUUUUUUACAUAUUAUGAAUUAAUUUAAUAGUACAAGAGAUUCUUUCAAAUUACAAGAAAUUCUUCUAAAUUUUUGUCACAAAAUGGCAAUAACACUCUUACAAAACAUGAAAAAUAUUGAAAAAAAAAUUGUUAAAAUUUUGUGGGAUAAUUACAAUCCACAACAUUAUGAUGUCAAAACUUGGUAUCAAUUUAAUAUGAACAAUCUUGACCCAAGUUGGAUGUAGCUUGUCUUUCUGUAGAAACCCUAUGACUUGGCAUCAUCUUGGAAUGAACAAUCUUGACCCAUGCUGGAUGUACCUCUUCCCCCUGUGGGAAUCCUAAUCCUAAAACCUGGCCUGCUGAUCUCGGUCACUUGCCCUGCUUGCGAGAUCCGGAGUUCGGCAGAACUUCUCUAGAAGGAAAACAAGUCAUCAAUCAGUUUUCGAAACGUAGUGCACUUGGUCGAUAACGCCGAAGGCGAUUUGGGAGGUGACCUAAACGACUAGAAGUACAAUCACUUUGUAGGAUUUGUUGAAGAGUCAUCCAGACUGCAAUUCGCAGAAACACUUUUCGCGUCCCUGGAGUUCGACUCUCAAAACCACACACAAGUGAAGCAUAUGCUGAUUCACAUCAAGGUAUUUGUGGAAAAAAAUAUCGCGCGCUUUCAAUAGAGCUCUAUCAUUGCAGUGUGUUGAAAAUAGAACUCGUCGUUGUUGGGGAUAAGUGUGCACAUGUAAAGUGAUACACUCCUGAAUUGGCUUCUGGUUUAGGAAUCAUUCAAUGAAAUUGCAGCGGGAGCGUCAUAUCCCGAUGUGCACAGAACAGGAAUAUUCCAAUCCUAUCUGGUGCUGUUAAGGCAAAUAGGUGUCGACAACUUGGCACAAAAAGCAGCUGAACUAUCACUAUACUAUCCGUUUUAUUGGCCAAAUGCAACAUGUGUCGGAUGGUGAAGAUAGAGUCUGCCUCGUCAGCCACCUCCUUUAUCGACUGCACAGAAUGUUCCUACAGACGUGGCAUGCAAGACAAGUGGGAAUGCAAAUGUCUACAAGUGGAUGCAUCUUUCCAGCGACCUCUUCCUCAUGGCAGGACCUAAGCAACUUUUUGUUAUUAUGUGAGAUAAAGUGAAGCUUCUCACAUUUAUAGUAUAUCGAUCAAUUCCACAAUUUUUAAAAUUCGUUAAUAGUUCAUAUCUUCAAAACUAAGAAGUUAUAAGGGUUAGUAAGAAGUUAAUGUAAUGAAUAUUCAGGUAGGUUGUAUUUAGCUCCAGCUUAUAACGUUCGUGCUGGGCAGGCUAGCUUGAUCAAUUCGAUUCAAUGUAAUGUGUCCUUCGUGCCUACCCCAAUUGUUUCAUCACCGUAAUUUCUAUCAACGCAGUAAUGGAGCCGCGCUACAAGCUGUGGACAGCUCGAGCAGAAUUGCAAAAUAAGGGCAGUUGCCGAAUAGUCUCAUCAAAAACAAACUGCUAAAUAUUCAACAAGUAGUAUUUUUGAGUACUUGGGAAUUCACAUGUGAGCUUCGUUUUCAGGUGCGACAGUAUGACAGUUCCUAGACAUCAAUACCCUGUAGAAAACUCGAACUAGCUGAGAAGUAGAUGCGAGAGAAGAAGAGCUUUUGAUUGAAUUCCGAAUUUCAUAAAAAUGCCAACAGUUAGGCACAAGCUUUACUACGCCUGCCAUGUACACAAGGAUGAACUGCAAUACACUCAGACCUCUUUUCAUAUGCACAAGGUCAGAGUUGUAUUAUUUGACAAUGCACAAGUCCUCCCUCUUCAACUCACAAGUGUCUACAUUUCACAUUGACACAUACCACAUUGUGCGGAUGAUCAUUGGGGAUUUUAAGACAAAGAUAUAUCAGAGGU